Molecule: long non-coding RNA, 1475 nt
Filed under: Numida meleagris (helmeted guineafowl)
Lineage: Eukaryota; Metazoa; Chordata; Aves; Galliformes; Numididae
Description: lncRNA (ENSNMEG00000020138.1)
Source: RNAcentral
GGAAAGGUCAACAGAGUGCUUUCUGUCUGAAUUUUAGGAUGUGUUUCUUGUGGAAGUGUUUGUCUGCACAUCUGUGACAGAGCUGAGCAAUCAUUCUGGCCUCAGCUUAGGAAGGGAAGUAUCCCUGCUUGGGACAGCCUUUGGAACUUACACAUCUCAAAUUAAGCAAGCACUUCAAAUGCUGCACAAGAUAGGGCACAUUCCUUAUUUAGAUUCUGCUUAUCACUUCUCCUGUUGUUACUGGCCUUGCUACAUUCUUCAUAAUGCCAGCAAUCUAUAUUUUUGAUUAAAAAUAUAUAUAUAGUAUCAGAUAUACAAACCUAUAAACUGGUUAUUUGUACUGAAGCUGUGAACUUCCUCUUUCAGUUUCCUGUUCUAAUAACUUCAUGUCUUUAGAAUUAAAACUGUGACAAGCAGUAGUGCCUCUCAUCUUUCUCAUGCAUUGGCCAUCCUUCCCAGUUUACGAGACGUCUGUUGCUUUCUUCAGAUGAGUCCAUCUUCUGAAGGUCAUGAUUUUCCUCCAUUGAGCUUACACCUUGGCUUUAUAGCUCGUACAUGCAAGAAAUAGAAGCAGAUUUGCAGGAGGUACCAGUAGUUACAUAAGUUCUUCCUAUUCUUUGAACGUAACCCAUCAAACAAUCAGAGCAGCAGCACAGUGCUCAAGAUGCUGUGACAGUCCUCUGGAGUUGUCUGCCUCGUUCUGCAAGCCAGCCUGUUGUCUGAAGCUCAGGACCUCGAUACAUGCCUUCUCAAAGCUGGACUUCCAGUGCAGCCAUCAUGGGAGCAGUGUAUCCCUGGACAUCAAGUGCUGCACUGCAAAUUGUCUCACGAUGCUAAGUACCUCAAGUCUAUUCCUCAGUCCGAUAAUUAUCUGUAUUCAGCUAGAGCACGGGGAUCAGUAUGCUGUCAACAUCCACCUCAUCAUUGUAAAUGCACACAGCCCCAAAAAGAAAAUGAGCAAAUAUUUCCUACGGUAAGUGUGAAAUCUCAGCCCUUGCUGGGUCCUUUCAUAUGAUUUUUUUCUGCAGUUAUUAAGCUGAGCACAUGAAAAAAAAAAACAAAACACAUUUGUUGGCAGUUUUUUCCAGGGGCCUUACUGGAGUUGCAUUUGGUAGCCAUUGUUACACAGAAUUGGUAAGUCAGUGGGUGGUUUGGUUAACCUUCACUUCAAAGCUCUCAAGAGCUGAUUUCCUAGCAGUUAAAAUUAUCUGAACUGAAAAGGAAAAUAUUUGUAACUUCUCAAUCCUCACCCUACUGAACUGCUUCAUAGAAGCGGCAGUUCUGUUAAAACCAUGUUUUAAAAAAAGAAAAAAAUAAUCUUAUUUUGGUACCUCUUUGGUGUGUCUUUUUAAAAUUGCAUUGACACGUUGUUCAAACCUGCAUUUAGUCCCACGUUGAUAAUACAAUGAAAGUAGUUCCUCCCAGGCAGAUACUUCUAUUCUUCAGAGUGUAGGAGUGAAAGUAGCCUCUUGGCC